GACAAACGCUGGCGGCAUGCCUAACACAUGCAAGUCGAACGGACAGAACAGGGAAGCUUUUCGGAGUGGAACUGGAAAGUUAGUGGCGGAUGGGUGAGUAACGCGUGGACAACCUAUCUUGUAAAGGGGAAUAACCUCGAGAAAUCGAAGCUAAUACCCCACAAUAACCUUGCUUCGCAUGAAGUAAGGAGGGAAUGCGGCCUUAGCGCUGUCGAUACAAGAUGGGUUCGCGUCUGAUUAGCUAGUUGGUGAGGUAAAGGCUCACCAAGGCGACGAUCAGUAGCCGGCCUGAGAGGGUGAACGGCCACAUUGGGACUGAGACACGGCCCAGACUCCUACGGGAGGCAGCAGUGGGGAAUCUUCGGCAAUGGGCGAAAGCCUGACGGAGCAAUGCCGCGUGAGUGAAGAAGGUCUUCGGAUUGUAAAACUCUGUCAUUAUCGAAGAGAGGGUGUUGUAGUAUAUGACAAUACUAGGACGGUAGAUGAGGAAGAAGCACCGGCUAACUAUGUG
This 511-nucleotide ribosomal RNA is filed under the name uncultured bacterium. RNAcentral's name for it is "partial 16S ribosomal RNA". It matches the Rfam family "Bacterial small subunit ribosomal RNA", at positions 28 to 507 of the family's 1533-position model. The record is from RNAcentral.